This 253-nucleotide ribosomal RNA is filed under the name uncultured organism. Its description in RNAcentral is "partial 16S ribosomal RNA". It matches the Rfam family "Bacterial small subunit ribosomal RNA", at positions 524 to 776 of the family's 1533-position model. The record is from RNAcentral.
UACGUAGGGUGCGAGCGUUAAUCGGAAUUACUGGGCGUAAAGCGUGCGUAGGUGGUUCGGUAAGUCAGAUGUGAAAGCCCUGGGCUUAACCUGGGAAUUGCGUUUGAUACUGUCGGACUAGAGUUUGGCAGAGGGGGGUAGAAUUCCACGUGUAGCAGUGAAAUGCGUAGAUAUGUGGAGGAACACCGAUGGCGAAGGCAGCUCCCUGGACCUGUACUGACGCUCAUGCACGAAAGCGUGGGGAGCAAACAGG